RNAcentral lists this long non-coding RNA (659 nucleotides) under Solanum tuberosum (potato). RNAcentral's name for it is "long non-coding RNA (STUB_LNC008731)". The record is from RNAcentral. Lineage: Eukaryota; Viridiplantae; Streptophyta; Magnoliopsida; Solanales; Solanaceae.
UCGCAUUUAUUUAAAUGAAGUAUUUUGUAAACUUACUCAUUUAUUUAUUUAUUUAUUUUAGAGUCGAGUGAGAAACGACUAAUUUAGUUAGGUGAUUAAUUCAAAAUGGGUGUCUUUUGGGGAUUUGAAAUUUCCGACCCUAAGAUUAACAACAAAUCCUAACGAGCAAAACAAACACAUUGAAGUAAAGAGGAAAAAAGGGUGGGACCCAAAUCUGGUUUCUGUUCGCCUGGACCAGCAUUUGGGCCUAUUUCGUUUUGGGACCAAAGACCCAAUAUUCAACACCUGUCCUAAACUAAUCUUUGAAUUUUGCUUCUCUUUGGGCCUUUGGCCCAACCCUUGUCUCCUUGUACCUGUCCUAGUAACUAACAAAUAAUAAUAAUUACAAUAAAUGAGAUUAGGCCUAAAAUAACAAAAUACAAGUUUCUUUUUGUGCAAAGAGUGGGCCUUUGGCCCAAUCUUUCAAUUCUUCUUUGCUUCGAAUCCUUUCAACUCCAAGACAUGUUCAUCGAUAUUCACGGUUGUCCGACUCAAAAAGAGGAAUUCGAGCCUUUGCGGCUCUCCCGAAAUGCAAGAGGGAAUAAGAGUUCAUGGUGAACUCGGACGGAUUUCACAUAAGAAAGAAUACACAUAAAAAUAAAUUAGUACCUACUUAUAAU